Micropterus dolomieu (smallmouth bass) is the source of this 1264-nucleotide long non-coding RNA. RefSeq lists it as uncharacterized. The transcript has 2 exons. NCBI's taxonomy places the organism in Eukaryota, Metazoa, Chordata, Actinopteri, Centrarchiformes, Centrarchidae. The record is from RefSeq and is a predicted model, not a curated record.
UCCAGUCUAGACACCACACACACACAGAAACCCACUGCCUGCACACACACACACGUCUCAACAAAGACAAGCCGCAUCCAAAAGUUAAAGGACGCUUCUUACCUAAAAUGGCCACUGCAGCAGCCAAAACACAAACAGCUUUUUUUAUUUGGUGGAAGUUUAGCAGCAGCGGCGGCGGUGUGGCUGCUGCAGCCAGCCUAACCUUACUAUUUGGAUCCAGUAGCGGUUCAGCAUUUCAGAUUUUUCCAUUGGCUGCAGCCUAGCGCAGCUGGCCCCAUGCAUAUUUCCAUUGGCCCUGCAGCUGUCAAGCAAGCGAAACGAGCAGCGAGUCUCUCCCGGGUUUGUCUGAGAGCUAUCGCGGCAGCCCCAGGCAACACCAUUGUGUAUUGUACUUGCAGGGAAAUCCUUCUCGUACCGGGGGAAGCUUCCCACCACCGCACCGCCCGGCUGGCUCCUGUUGUCAUUGAAGGAAGGAUAAAAAACAAGAGGGGAGCGUUCCGUUUUCAACCCCCCCGAUGCAACAAAACGAAGGGGUUUACAUUUCUCCUCUACUGGCUGCAACCACCAAUCAUGUCGCUUUUUACUCCUCCAUCAUUACCGGGUUUGAAGGGCGGAAGAGAAGAAAAAGACAUUCCACGUCUUUUGCAGAUCAGGUUGCGUUUCCCGGAUGUUCAGUUUUGUUUGCUGGACUUAAUAUUUUCAGUUUGUGGGCUGCGGUGUUUGAUGUGGAUGCAAUGUUCGCUUGUUUUUUAGGGGUAUUUUGGGCUAUAAGGCUUUUUGUGGGGAGACAUAGAACUUGCCUUCUUUCCCAACUUCACCUGAAGUCUGCAGGCUCUCUGCUUGACCCUCCAGUCACCAUCUCCGGUUAUUUGUAAGAGUUAAAACUCUUAAAGUCACAUUUUUAUGUUUCAAAAUACACAUCUCAUUUAGUGCCAAAAAUAAAAAUAAAGCGUCCGAUCUUACCACACCCUAUAUGGCACAAAAUACACUUUUGUCAAAUUGUAACCUCUGACCACAGAGUAAAAAAAAACAACCCGUAAAAGCCUAAUGUGGUCAAGACAUGUCUGAAUUCAAACAUGGUUGUGAUAGAGGUAUGAAUGUGUCAAAAAUAUUUUAUAUAUAUAUGUGCACUCAUGAUUCUUUAGGAGCAAUACCAUGACAAUACCAUGAUUGAGCAAAUAAAGCUUAAAAGUUAAUAAAUCACCUUGGAAAUAGCAGUUUAUACAUCAAUCCCAACUCUGGAGCUGCCAACCACAUCACAUGG